This 399-nucleotide ribosomal RNA is filed under the name uncultured bacterium. RNAcentral describes it as "partial 16S ribosomal RNA". It matches the Rfam family "Bacterial small subunit ribosomal RNA", at positions 360 to 776 of the family's 1533-position model. The record is from RNAcentral.
AAUAUUGCGCAAUGGGGGAAACCCUGACGCCGCGACGCCGCGUGAAGGAAGAAGGUUUUCGGUUUNUAAAUUUCUAUCUGCAGGGANAAUGAUGACAGUACCCGACUAAGAAGCCCCGGCUACCUACGUCCCAGCAGCCGCGGUAAUACGUAGGGGGCAAGCGUCAUCCGGAUUUACUGGGUGGAAAGGGUGCGUAGGUGGCUAGACAAGUCAGAUGAGAAAGCCCGGGGCUCAACUCCGGGACUGCAUUUGAAACUGUAGAGCUAGAGUGCAGAAGAGGUAAGUGGAAUUCCUAGUGUAGCGGUGAAAUGCGUAGAUAUUAGGAGGAACACCAGUGGCGAAGGCGGCUUACUGGACUGUAACUGACACUGAGGCACGAAAGCGUGGGGAGCAAACAGG